AUCCAACUGACGAGUCUCAAACAGGACGAAAUGCGCAUCCUGGAU
This 45-nucleotide non-coding RNA is filed under the name Trichobilharzia regenti. The record is from RNAcentral. Lineage: Eukaryota; Metazoa; Platyhelminthes; Trematoda; Strigeidida; Schistosomatidae.